CUUGAAAUAAAGUGACCUCUUUUUAAUAGAAAACAUUAGGUAAAAGCGUAUUUUUUAACCACUUCUUCUUCCUUUCAUUUCAUCCACUGACAAACAAACAGUACUUUUGUUAGACAAUUGCUCGAUUUUUUGUUUCUUUUAUUCAAUCUUAUAAGUCGUGAUUAUGAAUUUCAUGGGCAUGAGGUAUUACUUCUCUCUCCCAUUCAUUGGUUUGAUUCUGGUGGCGCUAUUCGACUACUCCUACGGACAAGGCGUCGCCCCUACGCCUGCAGCAAUUGCUCCUGCUCCUACCAACGAUGGCACAACAAUUGAUCAAGGGAUUGCAUACGUUCUUCUCCUCGUUGCGCUGGCGAUUACGUAUUUAGUCCACUGAUUUUUUGUGCUGAUACUUUUUGAGAUAUAAAUGUUUACCACAUAGUAAUUACAUUUAUUCAAUUCUUAGGUAAUUUCUGUCCAGUUAUUACAGUGAAAAUCGUGUAGCAUGGCUGUAGCUUCCUUGUAGAGAAAGUUGAUUUUUUUUUUUUU
Molecule: long non-coding RNA, 525 nt
Organism: Sesamum indicum (sesame)
Lineage: Eukaryota; Viridiplantae; Streptophyta; Magnoliopsida; Lamiales; Pedaliaceae
Source: RefSeq, a predicted model, not a curated record